AAGAAUUUAGUUUAAACAAAAACAUUAGUUUGUCAAACUAAAAAUAUUAAUUUAAUAUUUCUUA
RNAcentral lists this transfer RNA (64 nucleotides) under Notonecta amplifica. RNAcentral describes it as "tRNA-Asp". It matches the Rfam family "tRNA". Rfam says of the family: Transfer RNA (tRNA) molecules are approximately 80 nucleotides in length. The record is from RNAcentral. Lineage: Eukaryota; Metazoa; Arthropoda; Insecta; Hemiptera; Notonectidae.